Molecule: long non-coding RNA, 9678 nt
Organism: Gasterosteus aculeatus aculeatus (three-spined stickleback)
Lineage: Eukaryota; Metazoa; Chordata; Actinopteri; Perciformes; Gasterosteidae
Source: Ensembl
UGUGUGGGAAAAGGUCCAUUAAGGACAGACUUGUGUCCUUAAUGCACUUUUAACCUCUGCCUUUAAUUAAACAAUUUAAAUAAGCUUUUAAUUUAUAAUUUUAUUUGCUGUUUUUAAUUGUCACUUUAUUGUAUGAAAUGUUAUGAUGUGAAGCACUUUGAGUCUGCCUUGCCUUGCCUAAAAGACUAACAAAUUGUAACACAUAAAUUGUACUUAUAACGCCACUUAUCUAUAGCAAAUUGUAAAUUGGCUUAUUUGAGCAAAUUGCACUUUCCUGUUUCUUGCUCUUCUGAGUUUGUACCCUAUGGUUGAAUGCACUUAUUGUAAGUCGCUUUGGAUAAAAGCGUCAGCUAAAUGACAUGCAAUGCAACGUAAUGUGAUGUGAUAAUGGUGGGAAACAUUGAUCUGGCAGCGGGUGGUUAUCAAAACAUUGGCCAAAUAACCCGUUUUCCCAGGCUAUGUGAGCAAAUACAGAAUCCCUUUGUGUUCAUUUCUAAAGCCUUGCAUUAAGACAUGCAUCACUUUAUUGAAGACUGCGGUACUUGUAAGUCGCUGUGUUGUGCCAGAUUCUCAAUAAAGUAAGAAAAAAACAUUUACGGCAACCCAUGGUCAUGAAGAAACUCAUUAAACGUCACAUGGAAUUUGUAUGUCGCUAAAUACCCAACUGAGAUUGGCUUGUGCUGUUCAGAAAAAGGAACCUUCCACCGACCACUUUUCGCACCCGGCGUCACUCUGAUUUGUGUCAUCUGCAGGUGCAUCGCGGAGAAAACCAAUAGGGUGUCUGAAUAGUAUAUGUUUAUACUUCUCAUACAAUCACAAUGAAAUUCACUUUAUCCGUAUGGCGCGAUUUUUCUGGUUAGGUUUUUUUUGUGUGUGUUUUUGAAUGACGACAAGCUGGAAUGAAAACAAGCCUAAAUGAAAUUAGGCUAUUUUUAAAAUGUAAGGAGUAGAAAAUAUAGAUAUUUGCGUGAAAGUGUAAGGAGUAAAAGUAAAAAGUCAUCUGAAAAACAAAUACUAACCCAAAUUUCUACUUAAGUAAGGUAACAAAGUAUUUGUACUUAGUUACGUGACACCUCUGCACAACACAUACAGCCACUACAACUACCACAACAUCCGCCAUCUGUCUGAAUGACUGCUUUCUUGGCAAGGUCGAUGGGCCUUACGUCAACCCUGAUGACCCAGGAAGUUUUACAACUGGGCCCACACCCGUAGUUAAUUAUUGAAAUUGGGUGUGUUCUUGUUUGGGAACUUUUUAAUCACUGUUUAAUUAUACAUUCUUCAUUUUCAAGGCAAGGCAAGUUUAUUUGUAUAGCGCUUUUCAUACACAAGGCAGUCUCAAAGUGCUUCACAUCAUAACAAGUGAAAUAAAAUGCAGGAAUUAAAAGAAAAUUAAAAACAGCAAAUAAAAUUAUAAAUUAAAAGCUUAUUUAAAUUGUUUAAUUAAAGGCAGAGGUUAAAAGUGCAUUAAGGACACAAGUCUGUCCUUAAUGGACCUUUUCCCUUACAUUACUUUUACUUUUAUUUCUUAAGUAGUUUGGAAAGAGAAGUCAUGGAAAUCCAUUGGUCGAAAUGUGUAUGAACCCUGGUUAUAAGAGUGGAAAAACGUUGCCUGGUCUGAUGGGUCUCAAUUUCUGUUGUUUCUCAUUAGUUGAACACGCAAAGAAAAUUUCAAAAAGGGAGGUAUCUAGGAGGCACACAGAUGCCAAACCAGAGCUGGCCAUAAUUGCUAACUUAGUUGAGUGUCUCUUUCAAAAAGAUUCCUGUAUAAUUGGCUUUUGUACAGCUGCAUAAUCUAAAAAUUGUGACCAACAUAUUUGCCACACCUUGUCUUCUCCUCGACCAUAUAAAGCAUCGCUGCAAGUCAUCUGUCAGUCACUUGACACAUCAGAGACAGUGUAUGCUUCUUUCUCCACUUGUAAGUAUACCUUUUACUUUCAUCCCAACCAUCCACUUUUAACUUAUUUAAUUUCUGAUGCUCUGUAUACAUUACUUUUUUUAAUAUGCAGGAAUACUGUCUACUAAGUCUGGUGAAUGUCUCUUAAAAAAAAUGUUCACGCUGCAAAUUAAUCAAAUGCUUCUCUUUCAGUGCAUCUACACAGUCUCAAAAUGUGCAAGCUCACUCUAACUGCUGGUAAGCACACUGAUUAAAUAUUUGCUUUACAAAGUUGAUAACCAGCUUCGUGGGGCUGCUUGGCGGGAUUUUGAUUGUUAAGGUUAAAUCAGAGAAGCAAAAACUUGAACUGCUCGUUGUUGAACUGCUUGCUGGUACAGGCCCCUCUUGAGCUUAGUUUAAACCCCAUACUAACAAGUGUGUCACUUUCCAGCUCUCUGUUUGAUCAUCGCCAGCUUGGGUAAGUUUAUAACAUGUAUAGUUCACAAUCAACAGUGUCACUGUUAGAUAAAUGAACUUAACAAUUUUUGGAAAACAAGGAUGGGAAGUGGUUUUCAGCAUAUAUAUGAAUCAAUGCGAUCAUCUUUAAUGUAACCACUCUUUAUAAAUGUAUAUAGGUGUGUUAUCAGUGAAAAUAUGUGCCCUUUCAGGUUCCUAAGAGCUUCUAACACAUGUGUAACACGAACUGUUUUAGGUUUACCCGGCAUUGAAGCGAUGAAAUCCUCUACUGACCCCUGUGAUGGAAGACCCAAUGGGCAAUACCCCAACCCUGACGACGAACAUUCUUUCCUCUACUGUAUAUCUGGAGAAAAACGCGUCCAACAAUGCCCAGCAAAUUUGGUGUAUAACCCAUCCAUUAAGGUCUGUGACUAUCCCAGUAGUCAAACUGGAAACCCCUGUCAUGGAAGACGAGAUGGGCAGUACCGCAACCGUGACGACCGAAAUUCUUUUCUCAGCUGUGUAGCUGGACUAACCUACGUCCUACAAUGCCCAGCCGAUUUGGUCUAUAGACGCCGCAUUAAUCAAUGCGUCUAUCCCAGGAGAGGUUAAACUACCAGUAGAGAUACUGGAGGCCAAUGUAGUGGGAGAAGAAAUGGGCAACAUCCCAACCCUAAUAAUCAAACUUCUUUUACUACUAUGUAGCUGGACAAACGGCUACAACUCCCAAACCCAGAGCAGAUUAUUGGGACAUAAUCAAAUUCUGUUAAAUGUGCAAUUUCCUGUGUUCUUCAAUGCUUUUGGAUGUGAGGAAUGUAAUAAUGGCUAAAUACCACAUUGUUUUCCUAACUUCACUGUUGUUGUAUAGGAUAUAGGUUUUCGCAACUGUCGUGUGUAUAAUCACACUGGGUGUUUUCUCUUUCGUUUAUGUUGAUUGGUGAAUGGAUUGUUCUUACAUUAUGACACAAAUGUGGCAUAUUGUAAUUAUAUACAAUGAAUCAAUAAAAUACCGCAAUUAUAUCAGACUUAUUGUUUUUCUUUGCACUAGCAUUUUAGAGAUGGAAAUAAUUUCUUCAUAAUAGUUUAGCCCUAUGCUAACCACCUCACACGUCAGGGUUGCUGCACCACUCACACAGAAGUCCUAACCAAUAGGAAGUUGAGAUAAACGUUACGAAUAGUCUUUUGGAUAAAGAUAUAACGGAGGGAGAUCGCCGCAGACGGCGGUUUGCCGGUCGAGAGGUGUCCGCGAUGAAAAGCAGCAGUGGCGAUGCACGGGGAAAUAAAGUCUAUGAUAAAUAAAUAAAUAGACGUGACUCUAUAGGUCGUCUUCAACAAAACACGUCACUCUGCCUGUUGUUGCGGCGGCAAAUUGCUCUGCAACGCAGAACCAUGAAUUGAUUGAAUCCAACCCGCUUCUACAACCCGCCAAUGACGGCUUGUAUAAGCAGUCAUAUUUACGCAUUUCUUCCGACAAAAGUUCUUAAAUCUGAUCCGUUCUCCCGUAAACAUUCUUCGUUUUAAUAAUGCGGUAUCGGGCUAUGAAAGCGGAAAUGUGAGACUCCGUAAAGGAUGUAGGUGUGCCGUGAGAUUUUUUCUGUGUCUUAGUGUGCCUUGACGCAAAAAAGGUUGAAAAACACUGCACUAGGGAGGUGCAGGUGAUUGGACACAGGUGGAAACUAUCAGACGAUCACAGGGGAUGACAGGACAAGGCAGGAAGUGAAGUUACCCGGGGACACGAGUGGCAGAAAACUACAAAAUAAGACAGGACGUGAACCACACCGUGAUACCACACCAUCAUAUUUCACUUGGGAUGGAGUGCUAGCGGUACUACACACCAGAGAACUACAGCUUUUAAGAGAUACUUUUAGAACAUCUGUAGGGUCAAGAGAUACAGUAUGUGUAAUGCAACAUUAUGCCAUGACAACAUUGUGUCUAUUUAUUUAAAAAUGACUUAAACCACAAUAAGAUUAGUUUCCUUUUUGAGAUGCGGAACAGUGUCAGUAAAAUGUAAUGACAGUGAUUCAAACAUUUUCCAGAAAGAAAACACCCACUUCACCUGCAAUUACAUGAAGCAGCUGAUAAUAAAUCACUCAUAACUGUCGGAUAUAAUGAAGAUCAAUUUAGACUGAACUGUAAAAUUCUUCCACACAUUAUCAAACUCUUUUCGGCACACAAACAUUAAGUAGACAUUGAUGCAUUGUACAGGAUCUGCCAAAGUUUAAAACAAGCAUCAGAAUGUUAAAGAAAUGUGACAUUAAAUGUGUCUGGGUUGAUGGUGCCUGACAGCCUGGUUUUGAGAUUUUCAGAGCUGUUGAUCUACUGAUCCACUUGGAUUUUCAUGAACAACCUUGCAGGGUACCUAGAGACUGGUCAAAAAAGAGAAACUGCUAAAAUAUGCAGUGAACGAACAGAAAGUAUCUGGGAGGUUCCCUAAUUAGAUGCGAGCAUCAGAGCUACCUGAGCCAAUUUCCAACUUAUUCUCUAGCGCCACCACUAGUGUCUGGACUCCAAAGGGGCAGAUAUGCCUCAUCUUGCCUCGGCAUCCCGCCCUCUGGUCUAUCCUGCGGCAGGAUAGAGUCCAAGCCCCAAACAAGAUUGCAAUAUGAAUAGUUAUGCCUGUUACAAUAAAACAGUGUUCAAAUUUCAACAAAUCUCUCCGGAUUGAAAAUGUUGUUGUUUAAACCCUGGGUAUGUUGCUUAGUAGUAUAGGCCCUGUUAAUCCUUGUUAAAGCCCAGUACUAAUUAGUUUGUCACUUUUAAGGUCUCUGUUUGAUCAUCGCCAGCUUGGGAAAAAUCAUGACAUGUAAAAAUCAUAAUUGACAGGAUCGCUAUUAAGUCUUUAACUAAGUUGAGUAGUGGAUUAGUAGUUUUAAGUAUGUCAUCUUUGUUGUAUUCUCUUGUAAUUACAUUUUCAGCAUUUAUGGUUUAACAGGAAUUUUUACAUGUCUGAAAAUGAUUAUUUUAGGUGUACCUGGCUUUGCGAGAAAUCUUCGAGUUUACAAAACAUCACAUGGAAACCCUUGUUAUGGAAGACAAGAUGGGCUGUACCCCAACCCCAAUGAUCAGCACUCGUAUUACAACUGUGUUUGGGGACGCACCUACAUCCAAAAGUGCCCAGAACAUUUGGUGUAUAGGCAUUCCAUAACUGCUUGUUACUAUCCUGGAUCACCUGUAACAGGCAGUUCAUCUCAUGAAAUCUGUGAUCCCAUGACUACAACCAGUACUCCCACCAUGACUCCCAUGACCACCAGUCGCCCCACCACAACAAUUGCAACAACAACUCACCGUACGACAACAACAAACACGCCCACUACCACCACUAACACCCACCCAGAGCCACCUACUAAAUCAUUUGCACACAUCAGUUAUGGAAAGGCAGGCAGAUACGUUCCUCAUCCAACGGACCCAACACGAUAUAUCCAAUAGGCCAUACAAGGAAGAGUUUUCAUCCAGUCGUGCUCAGCGGGUUUGACCUUUAAACCGGCAUUCAGUGUCUGUACUUACAAAUGCGGUCAAGUGUGUCUGGCCGUGUAUUUACAAUUGUUGUCUUAUAAUUCAAGGUGUAUCUAAAUCAGUCUGGUGUGUCUCUUGUUUUUCCACUGCCUACCUAAUUACUUUUAUAUUCACAUAUAUGAACAUAGUUGUUGCAUACUUACUUAACUAUAUGUGUAUCAAACACCAUUGUAUUAAUUUGUUCUUGAUUUUUAUUUGAUAAUUUAGCCACUGCAAGAUGUAUCUUCCAUGAUGAAACAGAUGUUGGUAUAAUUAGUUUAUCUUUCCCUAUGCGCUGUUUGUGACUAUAAAGAACACGUAAUAUACCCUUAUACAACCAAUGUCAUGAUUGUGUCACAGGAGGAAAAAAUGCAGGCAAACACAAAUCACCUGAGAAUAGCGAGCGAGAGUCACACAUUGAACAUGUUUUCUUGCUGUGUUUUUGCGUGAAAGAAUUGAUAUUGCAUACUUUUGAGGUGACAGCACAGCUUACCUUAUAUGUUAUUAUUAUGUUUAAACCAAUGAUAGUCUUUCUCGGGUAAAAGUGAGAAGGUGAACACACCUUUAUUUAAAAAGGUAAUAAAAUAUCAUGUGAUGAAACUUCCCUUUCCCGGGCCACAUCUACCAGCUCUGACUGAGGGAUCCCAGGCCAGUGCAGAGAUAUAAUCUCUCCACCUAGUCCUGGGUCUUCCCCGGGGCCUCUUCCCAGCUGGCCGUGCCUGGAACACCUCCCCAGGGAGGCGCCCAGGGGGCAUCCUCACCAGAUGCCCAAACCACCUCAACUGGCUCCUUUCGACGCAAAGGAGCAGCGGCUCUACUCCGAGCUCCUCGCGAAUGGCUGAGCUUCUCACCCUAUCCCUAAGGGAGACGCCAGCCACUCUCCUUGAGGAAACCCAUUUCGGCCGCUUGUAGCCGUGACCUAGUUCUUUCGGUCAUGACCCAUCCUUCAUGACCAUAGGUGAGGGUAGGAACGAAGAUUGACCGGUAGAUUGAGAGCUUUGCCUUCUGGCUCAGCUAUCUUUUCGUCACAACGGUGCGGUAAAGCGAGCGCAAUACCGCCCCCGCUGCUCCGAUUCGCCGGCCAAACUCACACUCCAUCUUCGCCUCACUCGUGAACAAGACCCCGAGGUACUUCUCCUUCUCCUCCGAGGUACUCCUUCACUUGGGGUAAGGACAUAUUCCCUACCUGGAGUAGGCAAUCCAUCGGUUUCCUGCUGAGAACCAUGGCCUCAGAUUUACAGGUGCUAAUCCUCAUCCCGACCGCUUCACACUCGACUGCGAAACGCUCCAGUGAGAGUUGGAGGUCACAGAUGGAAGAUGCCAUCAGGACCACAUCAUCUGCAAAAAGCAGCAUUGAGAUCCGCAGCCCCCCGAACUGUAGACCCUCCUCCCCCCGACUACGCCUCGAUAUCCUGUCCAUGAAGAAGGGUACCACCACCCCGGUCUGCCACUCUUUUGCCACUGUCCCAGACUUCCACGCAAUGUUGAAGAGGCGUGUCAUCCAAGACACCCCCCCAACACCCAUUGCUUUUAGCAUCUCUGGACGAAUCUCAUCAAUCCCCGGGGCUUUUCCUCUGCGGAGUUGUUUGACUACCUCAGUGACCUCCACCAGACCAAUUGACGAUGAUCCCUCCUCCGCCUCCAGCUCCGCCUCCGGCUCCGCCUCUACCAAAGAGGGCGUAGUAGUUGGAUUCAGGAGUUCCUCAAAGUGUUCAUUCCACCGCCCGAUAACCUCCUCAGUCGCGGUCAACAGGGUCCCAUCCUUACUGUACACAGCUUGGAUGGUUCCCCGUUUCCCCUCCUGAGGUGCCAGAUGGUCUUCCAGAAGCACUUUGGUGCCGACCGAAAGUCCUUCUCCAUAGUUACUCCGAACUCCUCCCAUACUCGCUGCUUUGCCUCCAUCACGGCAGAGACUUAUGAACAUCCUUAUGUUCGAACAUGGUGUUUGUUAUGGACAAUCCGUGACUGGCACAGAAGUCCAGUAACAAACACCCGCUCGGGUUCAGAUCAGGGAGGCCAUUCCUCCCAAUCACGACUCUCCAGUUAUCUCCAUCGUCGCCCACGUGCGCAUUGAAGUCUCCCAGUAGGACUAUGGAGUCCCUUACUGGAGCCCCAUGCAGGACUCCAUUCAGGGUCUCCAAAAAGGCCGAAUACUCUGAGCCUCUGAGGACUUAUGAGUAUCCCCACACCCGCCUGGCGCCUCACACCAUGGGCCACUCCGGAGUAGAAUAGAGUCCACCCCCUAUCCAGGAGUGUGGUUCCAGAGCCGAGGCUGUGCGUAGAGGUAAGCCCCACCAGAUCCAACGGAUAACGCUCCACCUCCCGCACAAGCUCCGGCUCCUUCCCCCCAAGAGAGGUUAGGUUCCACGUCCCCAGAGCCAGCAUCUGCCGCCCAGGUCUGUUCCGUCUAGACCCCCCACUGUUACUGCCACCCUUGUAGCAGCGCACCCGACCCCUUUGGUUUCCUCCACAGGUGGUGAGCCCAUGGGGAGUCACGACAAUCGCAAGAAAAUAGAAUUUUACACAAAUAGACUCAGCCAUUAUUAUUGAGUGUUUGUUUGAGAGAAACAACAAGAUCUGGGCUGAUGGAAUGACCAGAUUGUAUUCAACAGAUUCCUAUGUUGUUGAAAAGGUUCAUAAUGACUACAACUUGAUCUUGUUUCAUACUGGAGUGGUGGCAGGUUAAACUAAUAUUGUAUUAUUUCAGAUCCCUCUUUUAACUUAUGUUAAAUAAUAUGUGUUAAUGGAAUACCUGAUUAGCAAAGUAUCCAUGAACAACUUUCUUCAUUUAUUUGAACGUUUUAUUGGUUUAUGAUCUGUUAUCACUUACACCGUUUUUUGGGGUGACAUGGAUGAAUACAGUGCAUCCAUACGCCAUUUUAGCUUGUGUCUCUUUCAGGAGAGCUGAGUUUCCGUGUUCCACUGAUGUUUCGCUCUAUCAAGAGACCUAACAACUGGCAACUUUCAGCCGAAUGCUUUAGGGGUUGUUGUAUUUACUUCGUAGCUGUCCUCAUGAAAGCUGGAGUUUAGUUUCCAGUGCCAAAACAUGUCAGAAAUGUUUUGACGUUUGAGUCCCAAGGAAACGUAGUGGUGGAAGAAAAUCAAUAACUGUACAAUAAAACAUUAUUACAUUAUUAUAGAUUGAGUCCUGGAAUACUGAAGUAAAGAAACUUGAGAUAGAGGUUUAAUUAGUUUAUUCUCAACUCGAGGGUCUUAAUAGUCAUAUAGAGUGCAAUGCAGACUGCACCUUUACCCCAAGACUGCAGGAUCUGUAGGGAAGGAGCACAGGUUAGGUAAGUGUUGGUCAUGGAACAGACGGGAGAGACAGGCCCGCUCUCUUACAAAGCUAGCUUCAGAGCAUGGCAGUGCACAGUCAGGCUGCAAGAAAUAUCUCAAACAAACCUUGCCCAAGUUAUGAACAAAAAUAAACAGGCACACAUAUCAAUAUUGCUUCCUGCUUUUUAAUCAUAAAUGCUCCUUAUAUUUCCUGUUUUCAAGGUAAUCGAAGAUUUUUUUUAUGAUAAAUGUUCACCGGAUUUCCUGCGUUACCCACAAAUCCUUUCUUGAGGGUCUGGAGGGGAAGGACUUUUUUCCGGUUGAAUGGCUUCAGAAGGGGAGAAAAUAAUAAAGAAGCUAAUGACAAUUUAAAAAACCACACUUUUAACUCUCUUGUAAGUCCUGUGCUAAAACCUCUAUCUUUGUUCUGCUUCACUCUUUCAAAGUAAAGCUUUCCAGAAAGACUUUCCACAAACACACGAUUGUUUGUUUUUAGCCUGACAUCUACAUGUUUUAAGGCAAAGAACAAUUGCAAAAGACUGCAAUAGGUGCUCCUUAAUCUAAAAAAAUGUGUAUUGUAA